AAACCAGCACCUCAAGUGGUCAGGAUGAUUAUUGGGCCUAAAGCAUCCGUAGCCUGCUUUGUAAGUUUUCGGUUAAAUCCAUACGCUCAACGUAUGGGCUGCCGGAAAUACUGCAAAGCUAGGGAGUGGGAGAGGUAGACGGUACUCGGGAGGAAGGGGUAAAAUCCUUUGAUCUCUCGAUGACCACCUGUGGCGAAGGCGGUCUACCAGAACACGUCCGACGGUGAGGGAUGAAAGCUGGGGGAGCAAACCGGAUUAGAAACCCCAGUAGUCC
This 274-nucleotide ribosomal RNA is filed under the name uncultured bacterium. Its description in RNAcentral is "partial 16S ribosomal RNA". It matches the Rfam family "Archaeal small subunit ribosomal RNA", at positions 473 to 747 of the family's 1478-position model. The record is from RNAcentral.